GACGAACGCUGGCGGCGUGCUUAACACAUGCAAGUCGAACGGAAAGGCCUGCUUUCCCUUGUGGAUUGCGGGUACUCGAGUGGCGAACGGGUGAGUAACACGUGAGUGAUCUGCCCCCAACUUGGGUAUAAGCCUGGGAAACUGGGUCUAAUUCCCGAUAGGACUGCAGGGUGGUGCCUGUGGUGGAAAACGAUUUUCUAGUGGUUGGGGAUGAGCUCGCGGCCUAUCAGCUUGUUGGUGGGGUAAUGGCCUACCAAGGCGGCGACGGGUAGCCGGCCUGGAGGGGUGGACGGCCAAGUUGGGACGGGGAAACGGCCCAGAGCCCAACGGGGGGCGGCAGGGGGGAAUAGUGCACAAGGGGGGGAAGCCUGAUGCAGGGACGCCGGGUGGGGGAGGCCGGCCUUCGGGUUUGAAACUCCUUUCGACCGGGAGGAAGCCACCUGGUGGGAAGGGGGGUGAGGGUAGUGGUAGAAGAAGCACCGGCUAACUACGG
Molecule: ribosomal RNA, 493 nt
Filed under: uncultured bacterium
Lineage: Bacteria
Description: partial 16S ribosomal RNA
Rfam family: Bacterial small subunit ribosomal RNA
Source: RNAcentral